This 492-nucleotide ribosomal RNA is filed under the name uncultured bacterium. RNAcentral describes it as "partial 16S ribosomal RNA". It matches the Rfam family "Bacterial small subunit ribosomal RNA", at positions 29 to 507 of the family's 1533-position model. The record is from RNAcentral.
AGUGAACGCUGGCGGUAGGCCUAACACAUGCAAGUCGAACGGCAGCACAGUAAGAGCUUGCUCUUACGGGUGGCGAGUGGCGGACGGGUGAGGAAUACAUCGGAAUCUACUUUUUCGUGGGGGAUAACGUAGGGAAACUUACGCUAAUACCGCAUACGACCUACGGGUGAAAGCAGGGGAUCUUCUGACCUUGCGCGAUUGAAUGAGCCGAUGUCGGAUUAGCUAGUUGGCGGGGUAAAGACCCACCAAGGCGACGAUCCGUAGCUGGUCUGAGAGGAUGAUCAGCCACACUAGAACUGAGACACGGUCCAGACUCCUACGGUAGGCAGCAGUGGGGAAUAUUGGACAAUGGGCGCAAGCCUGAUCCAGCCAUACCGCGUGGGUGAAGAAGGCCUUCGGGUUGUAAAGCCCUUUUGUUGGGAAAGAAAAGCAGCAGGUUAAUACCCCGCUGUUCUGACGGUACCAAAAGAAUAAGCACCGGCUAACUUCGUG